This 500-nucleotide ribosomal RNA is filed under the name uncultured bacterium. Its description in RNAcentral is "partial 16S ribosomal RNA". It matches the Rfam family "Bacterial small subunit ribosomal RNA", at positions 30 to 523 of the family's 1533-position model. The record is from RNAcentral.
AUUGAACGCUGGCGGCAUGCCUUGCACAUGCAAGUCGAACGGCAGCACGGGAGCAAUCCUGGUGGCGAGUGGCGAACGGGUGAGUAAAAUAUCGGAACGUGCCCAGUCGUGGGGGAUAACGUAGCGAAAGUUACGCUAAUACCGCAUACGAUCUAUGGAUGAAAGCGGGGGAUCGCAAGACCUCGCGCGAUUGGAGCGGCCGAUAUCAGAUUAGGUAGUUGGUGGGGUAAAGGCUCACCAAGCCGACGAUCUGUAGCUGGUCUGAGAGGACGACCAGCCACACUGGGACUGAGACGCGGCCCAGACUCCUACGGGAGGCAGCAGUGGGGAAUUUUGGACAAUGGGCGAAAGCCUGAACCAGCCAUGCCGCGUGCAGGAUGAAGGCCUUCGGGUUGUAAACUGCUUUUGUACGGAACGAAAAGGUUUGGCCUAAUAAGCUGAGCUCAUGACGGUACCGUAAGAAUAAGCACCGGCUAACUACGUGCCAGCAGCCGCCGUAA